Molecule: non-coding RNA, 1607 nt
Organism: Mus caroli (Ryukyu mouse)
Lineage: Eukaryota; Metazoa; Chordata; Mammalia; Rodentia; Muridae
Source: RefSeq, a predicted model, not a curated record
GAAUCCACCAAAGCGAUGGUUAUGGAGAAGCCUAGUCCCCUGCUGGUCUGACGGGAGUUUGUGCGACAGUACUACACCCUGCUGAACCAGGCCCCGGACAUGCUGCACAGAUUUUAUGGAAAGAACUCUUCCUAUGCCCACGGGGGCCUGGAUUCCAAAGGGAAGCCAGCAGAUGCAGUCUACGGGCAGAAGGAAAUCCAUAGGAAAGUGAUGUCACAAAACUUCACCAACUGCCACACCAAGAUCCGCCACGUGGACGCUCACGAAACUCUGAAUGAGGGGGUGGUGAUCCAAGCGAUGGGGCUACUGUCCAACAACAACCAGGCUCUGCGGAGGUUCAUGCAGACCUUUGUCCUUGCUCCUGAGGGCUCUGUUGCCAACAAAUUCUAUGUUCACAACGACAUCUUCAGAUACCAAGAUGAGGUCUUUGGUGGCUUUGCCACAGAGCCUCAAGAGGAAUCCGAGGAAGAAGUAGAAGAACCUGAAGAAAGACAGCAGACAUCAGAGGUGGUGCCUGAUGAUUCUGGAACUUUCUAUGAUCAGACUGUCAGCAAUGACUUGAAGGAGCAUUUAGAGGAGCCUGUAGUGGAACCAGAACCGGAGCUGGAGCCGGAACCUGUGUCCGACAUUUAAGAGGACAAGCCUGAGGCUGCAUUGGAAGAAGCUGCCCCCGACGAUGUGCAGAAGAGCACUUCCCCGGCCCCGGCAGACGUGGCCCCGGCACAGGAGGACUUGAGGGCAUUUUCUUGGGCAUCUGUGACGAGUAAGAACCGUCCUCCCAGUGGGGCUGUCCCAGUGACGGGGACACCACCUCAUGUGGGCAAAGUGCCAACGUCACAGCCCCGUCCAGAAUCUAAACCUGACUCUCAGAUCCCACCACAAAGGCCUCAGAGAGAUCAGAGAGUUCGAGAGCAGCGAAUCAAUAUCCCUCCUCAGAGAGGACCCCGACCAAUCCGUGAGGCUGGUGAACCAGGAGAUGUGGAACCUUGAAGGAUGGUGAGGCACUGUGACAGUCACCAGCUCUUCAUUGGGAACCUGCCACAUGAGGUUGACAAGUCGGAACUGAAGGAUUUUUUCCAAAAUUUUGGCAAUGUGGUGGAGCUGNGCAUCAACAGUGGUGGGAAGUUACCCAAUUUCGGUUUUGUUGUGUUUGAUGAUUCUGAACCUGUUCAGAAGGUCCUUAAUAAUAGGCCCAUCAUGUUCCGAGGCACGGUCCGCCUGAAUGUGGAAGAGAAGACUCGAGCUGCCAGAGAAGGUGACCGCAGGGAUAACCGUCUUCGGGGACCUGGAGGCCCCCGUGGUGGGCCAAGUGAUGGGAUGAGAGGCCCUCCCCGUGGAGGCAUGGUGCAGAAACCAGGCUUUGGCGUGGGCAGGGGAUUACAACUCCAAGGCAGUGAAUUGCUUGGCUCAGAUCUCCACACAGCACACAGCCCCGGCUCCUGCAGAAUGGUGAAUUCCUUCAACCAGCGUUUGGUGUCUCGGAAUAGUCUAUUAUAAACUGCUUAAGUUUGUACAAUUUUCGUUUCGCUUGUGUUCAUGGUGUGUGCUCCCAACCCCCUUUCCUCCCCUGACCCCUUAGUCCUUCAUUCCCAGUUUUCCGGAAUGAU